RNAcentral lists this ribosomal RNA (683 nucleotides) under Hakea dactyloides. RNAcentral describes it as "eukaryotic LSU rRNA". The stretch from base 263 to 418 matches the Rfam family "5.8S ribosomal RNA". The record is from RNAcentral. Lineage: Eukaryota; Viridiplantae; Streptophyta; Magnoliopsida; Proteales; Proteaceae.
GUAGGUGAACCUGCGGAAGGAUCAUUGUCGAUACCUGCCCAGCAGAAAGACCCGCGAACAGKUUUCGAUACGCCCCGGAGAAGGGGGCGGGGUGGGUUCUCCCCCCUCGCCCCCGGCCCCGGUGGGCCUGGCGCCAUCCGUGGCUCCCGGCCCGAACACAAACACCGGCGCGGACAGCGCCAAGGAAUAUCACAACGGAAAGGGCGUGCGCCGCCGCGCCCUCGGCGCGGCGUGCCUCGUCCAACAUCCGAAUCUCACGAACGACUCUCGGCAACGGAUAUCUCGGCUCUCGCAUCGAUGAAGAACGUAGCGAAAUGCGAUACUUGGUGUGAAUUGCAGAAUCCCGUGAACCAUCGAGUCUUUGAACGCAAGUUGCGCCCUAGGCCAUCGGGCCGAGGGCACGCCUGCCUGGGCGUCACGCAUCGCGUCGCCUGCCCACCCCCGCCCUCCGGGGCGGGAGGUGAGCGGAGCGGAGUCUGGCCCCCCGCGUCCCGUUAGGGGCGCGGCCGGCCCAAAGGCAAAGGCCCCCUGUGUGGCGAGCGUCACGACGAGUGGUGGUAGAAGCCACUGUGCCAUUAGUCCGGACGUCGUGCACGCGCCGCCCACCCCGGGAACCGACGACCCUGACGAGGCGCCUCGGCGCUACGACCGCGACCCCAGGUCAGGCGGGGCUACCCGCUGAG